Molecule: long non-coding RNA, 1592 nt
Filed under: Macaca fascicularis (crab-eating macaque)
Lineage: Eukaryota; Metazoa; Chordata; Mammalia; Primates; Cercopithecidae
Description: lncRNA (ENSMFAG00000051922.1)
Source: RNAcentral
CUGACUUCGGUCUCAGUCUCUGCCCUGUCCUGGCCCUGGGACCAUGGGUGAGCUGAGGCAACUCAGUUUCCCAGCCUGUGACCCCAGGCUCUGUCCUCGCCCUGUCACCCCCCAUCGCAGCACAAGUUCGAGGGUGCCAGCUUGAGCGGCCUCCUGAGGGCCUUCUGGGGUUAAAAUCUUCAAUCCUGAGACUGAGACCAGGGCCGGUAAGGAGGCUCAGCCCCUGUGGACUUUCUCCUCCCUCUCCGUGGCUGAGUCUUGAUUUAUAGCUGGAAGGGCAGACGAAGGUAUCCUGCUGUAUACACAACCCUGCUUGACCACAUCCCAGGUCUCCUCCCUCUGCGACGCCACAGCAGGGGCGCCUUCCGAAAGCCCUCUGGAUUGAGGCAGCAGGAUCUGUGGUGGAACCCGCCUGGGAGUUGCCAAAGCCCCUAGGACCCCAGCACAUUGACCCGGGAGCAUCCCCGGGUUGUUUCUGCCUGGAGAGGAGCAGAGGCCAGGCUGCUGCCCUGGGAGGUGAGACUUCCUGGUGCACCUGCACUUCCAGAUGGGACUUUCUGGUACAACUGCACUCCCAGAUGAGCCUUCCCUCCCAGAUGAGCCUUCCGGGUGCACCUGCACUCCCAGAUGCAGACUUCCUGGUGCACCUGCACUCCCAGAUGCAGACUUCCGGGUGCACCUGCACUCCCAGAUGCAGACUUCCUGGUGCACCUGCACUUCCUGGUGCAGACUUCUUGGUUCAUCUGCACUUCCUGGUGAGAAUCCCUUGCACAUCUGCACUUCCUGAUGCACCUGCACUUCUAGGUAAGACAUUCUGCUGCAUCUGCAUUUAUGGGUGAACUUCCUGGUGAGAAUCCCUUGAGCACCUGCACUUCUAGGUGGAACUUCCUGGUGCACCUGCGCCUCCAGGCACAGACUCUCAGGUGAAUUUCCAGGCAGAAGAGACCUAGGCUGCAUUCCACAGGUGUCUGGCUUUUUUUGACCUUGGACCUUGAGUGCUGUCUUGGGAGGUAGGCUUUUCCAGGGUCUGUAAGGAUUGGGUAGGGUGGACAGACAUGGUAGUGGCAGGUGCAGAGGAGGGACAUGCAGACAUUUGAUAUGGAGGGGGAGGACAAAGCCACCUGACCAAAGGUAUCCCAGUCCCAACACAGCCAGGAAGCCUAGAAUAUGUGGAGGGGCAGCAGUGUGGAGGGUCUCCUCUCCCCCGCCCCUACUGCCCCGCCGCCCCUGUUUGGAGGUGAGCACCCGGCUGAUGCUGCUCCCUCUCCUGGCCUGGCUCCGGCUCCUAAGCUGUCCUGUGGUUCUGCCUUCCCACUGGACUUGUCCCCAGGGAGGAGAGCCCUGGCACAGUGACAGGAAGGUCUGGGGCUGCCAGAUGGCCCAUCCCUCAAGUCACCUUAUACAGGGCGUCUGGCUGGCCCCUGGGUCUCUGGGGUGUGUGUGAGCGCAGUUCAGCGAACCCCUCUCCUUUGUGGUGGGGUUUCUCAGUGCGCCAGGCUAGGAGACCCUCGCUGGGGAGGGCGCCAAGCAGUGCCACCUGGGGUGGGGGCGUCAGCCAAGCCUCAGCCCCUAAGUCCAUGGCGUGACAGCUA